AGUGAACGCUGGCGGCAGGCCUAACACAUGCAAGUCGAGCGGCAGCGGGUCCUUCGGGCUGCCGGCGAGCGGCGGACGGGUGAGGAAUGCAUCGGAAUCUGCCCUGUCGUGGGGGAUAACCUAGGGAAACUUAGGCUAAUACCGCAUACGACCCACGGGUGAAAGCGGGGGAUCGCAAGACCUCGCGCGAUAGGAUGAGCCGAUGUCCGAUUAGCUAGUUGGCGGGGUAAAGGCCCACCAAGGCGACGAUCGGUAGCUGGUCUGAGAGGAUGAUCAGCCACACUGGAACUGAGACACGGCCCAGACUCCUACGGGAGGCAGCAGUGGGGAAUAUUGGACAAUGGGCGCAAGCCUGAUCCAGCCAUGCCGCGUGGGUGAAGAAGGCCUUCGGGUUGUAAAGCCCUUUUGUCCGGGAAGAAAUCGUCUGGGCUAAUACCCCGGGCGGAUGACGGUACCGGAAGAAUAAGCACCGGCUAACUUCGUG
Molecule: ribosomal RNA, 484 nt
Filed under: uncultured bacterium
Lineage: Bacteria
Description: partial 16S ribosomal RNA
Rfam family: Bacterial small subunit ribosomal RNA
Source: RNAcentral